ACACAUGCAAGUCGAACGGUGAAAGAGAGCUUGCUCUCUGGAUCAGUGGCGAACGGGUGAGUAACACGUGAGCAAUCUGCCCUUGACUCUGGGAUAAGCGCUGGAAACGGCGUCUAAUACCGGAUACGAGCUGCGAAGGCAUCUUCAGCAGCUGGAAAGAACUUCGGUCAAGGAUGAGCUCGCGGCCUAUCAGCUAGUUGGUGAGGUAAUGGCUCACCAAGGCGUCGACGGGUAGCCGGCCUGAGAGGGUGACCGGCCACACUGGGACUGAGACACGGCCCANACUCCUACGGGAGGCAGCAGUGGGGAAUAUUGCACAAUGGGCGCAAGCCUGAUGCAGCAACGCCGCGUGAGGGACGACGGCCUUCGGGUUGUAAACCUCUUUUAGCAGGGAAGAAGCGAAAGUGACGGUACCUGCAGAAAAAGCACCGGCUAACUACGUGCCAGCAGCCGCGGUAAUACGUAGGGUGCAAGCGUUAUCCGGAAUUAUUGGGCGUAAAG
RNAcentral lists this ribosomal RNA (501 nucleotides) under earthworm cast bacterium NC5. RNAcentral's name for it is "bacterial SSU rRNA". It matches the Rfam family "Bacterial small subunit ribosomal RNA", at positions 51 to 565 of the family's 1533-position model. The record is from RNAcentral.